This 497-nucleotide ribosomal RNA is filed under the name uncultured bacterium. RNAcentral's name for it is "partial 16S ribosomal RNA". It matches the Rfam family "Bacterial small subunit ribosomal RNA", at positions 28 to 507 of the family's 1533-position model. The record is from RNAcentral.
GAUGAACGCUGGCGGCGUGCCUAAUACAUGCAAGUCGAGCGAACAGAUGAGGAGCUUGCUCCUCUGACGUUAGCGGCGGACGGGUGAGUAACACGUGGAUAACCUACCUAUAAGACUGGGAUAACUUCGGGAAACCGGAGCUAAUACCGGAUAAUAUAUUGAACCGCAUGGUUCAAUAGUGAAAGACGGUUUUGCUGUCACUUAUAGAUGGAUCCGCGCCGCAUUAGCUAGUUGGUAAGGUAACGGCUUACCAAGGCGACGAUGCGUAGCCGACCUGAGAGGGUGAUCGGCCACACUGGAACUGAGACACGGUCCAGACUCCUACGGGAGGCAGCAGUAGGGAAUCUUCCGCAAUUGGCGAAAGCCUGACGGAGCAACGCCGCGUGAGUGAUGAAGGUCUUCGGAUCGUAAAACUCUGUUAUUAGGGAAGAACAAAUGUGUAAGUAACUAUGCACGUCUUGACGGUACCUAAUCAGAAAGCCACGGCUAACUACGUG